This 254-nucleotide ribosomal RNA is filed under the name uncultured bacterium. RNAcentral describes it as "partial 16S ribosomal RNA". It matches the Rfam family "Bacterial small subunit ribosomal RNA", at positions 524 to 776 of the family's 1533-position model. The record is from RNAcentral.
UACGUAGGGUGCGAGCGUUUGUCCGGAAUUACUGGGCGUAAAGAGCUCGUAGGUGGUUUGUCGCGUUGUUCGUGAAAACCGGGGGCUUAACCCUCGGCGUGCGGGCGAUACGGGCAGACUUGAGUACUGCAGGGGAGACUGGAAUUCCUGGUGUAGCGGUGGAAUGCGCAGAUAUCAGGAGGAACACCGGUGGCGAAGGCGGGUCUCUGGGCAGUAACUGACGCUGAGGAGCGAAAGCGUGGGGAGCGAACAGG